AUGGCGGUGAAGGUGAUGGAGGUGCGGGUGGUGUUGCCGGUGGACGACAACGACGACGGCGAGGAGCGCGCCACGAUGGAGGUCAGCAGCGACGACGACGUGGCCUUGCUCCUCAGCUUCAGGUCCCUGAAGUCCCGGAUCACGUCGGGCUUGGUGAUCUCAUGCGACUCCACGUCCUCCUCGCCCUUCAGCAUCCGGGUCACCGUCGACAUGUCGGGCCGCCGUUUCGUCACGUUCUUGGUGCACAGGAGCCCCACCUUCAGGAACCUGCACGCCUCAUCCACGUCCAGGUCGUCGCCCAAGGAGCUGUCGAUGAUCUCGUCCAGCUGCCCCUGGUCGUAG
RNAcentral lists this ribosomal RNA (342 nucleotides) under Triticum aestivum (bread wheat). Its description in RNAcentral is "partial small subunit ribosomal RNA". Lineage: Eukaryota; Viridiplantae; Streptophyta; Magnoliopsida; Poales; Poaceae. The record is from RNAcentral.